AACGAACGCUGGCGGCGUGCUUAACACAUGCAAGUCGAACGCUGAAGCACCAGCUUGCUGGUGUGGAUGAGUGGCGAACGGGUGAGUAAUACGUGAGUAACCUGCCCUUGACUCUGGGAUAAGCCCGGGAAACUGGGUCUAAUACUGGAUGCUACCUGUCACCGCAUGGUGGUGUGUGGAAAGGGUUUACUGGUCUUGGAUGGGCUCACGGCCUAUCAGCUUGUUGGUGAAGUAAUGGCUCACCAAGGCGACGACCGGUAGCCGGCCUGAGAGGGUGACCGGACACACUGGGACUGAGACACGGCCCAGACUCCUACGGGAGGCAGCAGUGGGGAAUAUUGCACAAUUGUCGAAAGCCUGAUGCAGCGACGCCGCGUGAGGGAUGACUGCCUUCGGGUUGUAAACCUCUUUCAGCAGGGAAGAAGCCACAAGUGACGGUACCUGCAGAAGAAGCGCCGGCUAACUACGUGCCAGCAGCCGCCGCGG
RNAcentral lists this ribosomal RNA (486 nucleotides) under uncultured bacterium. Its description in RNAcentral is "partial 16S ribosomal RNA". It matches the Rfam family "Bacterial small subunit ribosomal RNA", at positions 29 to 523 of the family's 1533-position model. The record is from RNAcentral.